RNAcentral lists this unclassified non-coding RNA (329 nucleotides) under plant metagenome. RNAcentral's name for it is "partial contains 5.8S ribosomal RNA, internal transcribed spacer 2, and large subunit ribosomal RNA". The stretch from base 1 to 105 matches the Rfam family "5.8S ribosomal RNA", at positions 50 to 154 of the family's 154-position model. The record is from RNAcentral.
GAAAUGCGAUAAGUAAUGUGAAUUGCAGAAUUCCGUGAAUCAUCGAAUCUUUGAAUGCACAUUGCGCCCUCUGGUAUUCCGGGGGGCAUGCCUGUCCGAGCGUCAUUGCGAACCCCUCAAGCACGGCUUGUGUGAUGGGCCCUCCCGCGUCUUGGUCGUCAAGACGGGCCCGAAAUGCAGUGGCGGCUUCGCGGUUAUCCGAUCAGCCAGAGCGUAUGGGGACUUUCUCUCUGUCACACGCCCGCGGCGCGGACCGACGCCUGUCGACCUUCAUUCAUCGUUUUCUCGGUUGACCUCGGAUCAGGUAGGGAUACCCGCUGAACUUAAGC